UCCCUGGUGGUCCAGUGGUUAAGACUUUGCUUUUCAGUGCAGGGGACACAGGUUCUAUUCCUGGUCAGGGAG
RNAcentral lists this transfer RNA (72 nucleotides) under Bos taurus (domestic cattle). It matches the Rfam family "tRNA". From Rfam's summary of the family: Transfer RNA (tRNA) molecules are approximately 80 nucleotides in length. The record is from Rfam by way of RNAcentral. Lineage: Eukaryota; Metazoa; Chordata; Mammalia; Artiodactyla; Bovidae. RNAcentral also lists the same sequence under 5 other names.